ACUAUAAAAAAUCAUAAACUAAAAUAUUUAAAAGAGUUGUACCUCAUAAGCCAGGAGCAUAGUACUGACAAUAGAAAGCUAAUCGAGGAGCUAAAAGAAGAUAUCGUAAAAUGUGGCAACCCAUCGAUGCAACAGCUACGGGACACAACUUUGAUAAUAAAUUCGAAAUCAAUAUUACCAGGCAGGGAAGACUGGAAGGAAGGUGAAGGUACCCAUACAAGCGGAAGCUACCUGGUACACUGAUGGCUCAAAAAUAUCUGAGUGUGUGUAGGAGUUGGUAUAAUGAAACAAAUUCCACCAAAAAUCAAGAAUGCAUUUUCAUCGCUAGUGGAUUAUACUGGGAAAAAUACUAUAAGUCCUUACUACAAGACUUUGUGCAUCCAUAAUCACCACUAGAGGAUUUCCAAACUUCCUUUGGACCUGAGUGGGUAACAAAUUAGUAACCGCAGAUUACUAAACUAUUCCAAAGUAUUCUAACUCUUAACGAUAUUAAAGUUGUUAAACAUUUCUUGUAUUUUGUUAAAUAUAUUUUUUGAAUUA
Molecule: long non-coding RNA, 540 nt
Organism: Diabrotica virgifera virgifera (western corn rootworm)
Lineage: Eukaryota; Metazoa; Arthropoda; Insecta; Coleoptera; Chrysomelidae
Exons: 2
Source: RefSeq, a predicted model, not a curated record